AUGAACUUUAGAGGUACCUUCCAGCCUCAACUAUUCUGUAAUCAACAGGGAAAACUUCAAAACAAGCAUGGAUUUUUUCAUCGGCUAAGAAACGCAUUGGUUCGGGUGUCUCAUGUAGCAUCUUUCCACUGGGAUGUGCCACAGAAAAACCACUACGAGAGUUACUAUCAUAUUCAGUCAUAUUCAAAGGAUAAAUCAUUUCAGCCUCUCCUGGAUGAAAAUUUGGACAGUGGAAUUUACAGAGGUGCUACAGUUGUAUUUCAUCGGCGACAAGAGAUGGAGGAGACCAUGACUGGAUCAUUGGGUGAUGCUCUGGCAUUAUUCUGUAAUGGGAAACCUGAGUUUGAUGUGUUGCUCGUAAACCACAUCUCAAUGACUGUUUAG
Molecule: long non-coding RNA, 384 nt
Filed under: Coturnix japonica (Japanese quail)
Lineage: Eukaryota; Metazoa; Chordata; Aves; Galliformes; Phasianidae
Description: lncRNA (ENSCJPG00005000387.1)
Source: RNAcentral